GAUGAACGCUGGCGGCGUGCCUAAUACAUGCAAGUCGAGCGAACAGACGAGGAGCUUGCUCCUUUGACGUUAGCGGCGGACGGGUGAGUAACACGUGGAUAACCUACCUAUAAGACUGGGAUAACUUCGGGAAACCGGAGCUAAUACCGGAUAACAUGUUGAACCGCAUGGUUCAACAGUGAAAGACGGUUUUGCUGUCACUUAUAGAUGGAUCCGCGCCGCAUUAGCUAGUUGGUAAGGUAACGGCUUACCAAGGCAACGAUGCGUAGCCGACCUGAGAGGGUGAUCGGCCACACUGGAACUGAGACACGGUCCAGACUCCUACGGGAGGCAGCAGUAGGGAAUCUUCCGCAAUGGGCGAAAGCCUGACGGAGCAACGCCGCGUGAGUGAAGAAGGUCUUCGGAUCGUAAAACUCUGUUAUUAGGGAAGAACAAAUGUGUAAGUAACUAUGCACGUCUUGACGGUGCCUAAUCAGAAAGCCACGGCUAACUACGUG
This 497-nucleotide ribosomal RNA is filed under the name uncultured bacterium. RNAcentral's name for it is "partial 16S ribosomal RNA". It matches the Rfam family "Bacterial small subunit ribosomal RNA", at positions 28 to 507 of the family's 1533-position model. The record is from RNAcentral.